RNAcentral lists this ribosomal RNA (381 nucleotides) under Eutreptiella gymnastica. RNAcentral describes it as "partial Eukaryotic small subunit ribosomal RNA". It matches the Rfam family "Eukaryotic small subunit ribosomal RNA", at positions 1 to 395 of the family's 1831-position model. Lineage: Eukaryota; Euglenozoa; Euglenophyceae; Eutreptiales; Eutreptiaceae. The record is from RNAcentral.
ACCUGGUUGAUUCUGCCAGUAGUCAUACGCUAGUCUCAAAGAUUAAGCCAUGCAUGUGUAAGUAUAAAUCUUGUACUUUGAAACUGCGAAUGGCUCAAUAUAUCAGUUGUAAUCUCUUCCGUAUUCCCUUACUACUUGGAUAACCGUAGUAAUUCUAGAGCUAAUACAUGCGUCAACACUCUGUAAGAGUGGUAUUUAUUAGAUAGAAACCAACCCACCUCGGUGGUAUUUUGGUGAUUCAUAAUAACUUUGCGAAUCGCAUGGCUUCUGCCGGCGAUGGACGGUUUGAGCUUCUGCCCUAUUAGCUUUGAUGGCUGGGUAUUGGCCAGCCAUGGCUUUCAUGGGUAACGGAGAAUUAGGGUUUGAUUCCGGAGAGGGAGC